RNAcentral lists this transfer RNA (72 nucleotides) under Dictyota dichotoma. RNAcentral's name for it is "tRNA-Trp". It matches the Rfam family "tRNA". Rfam says of the family: Transfer RNA (tRNA) molecules are approximately 80 nucleotides in length. The record is from RNAcentral. Lineage: Eukaryota; Phaeophyceae; Dictyotales; Dictyotaceae.
GGAAAGAUAGUUCAAUAGGUAGAACUUCGGUCUCCAAAGCCGAAGGUUGGGGGUUCAAGUCCCUCUCUUUCU